AUACCCGUAGCUUAAUGGCUAGAGCACGUGGUUUGGGACCACGGGGGUGGGGGUUCGAAUCCCUCUGGGUAUA
Molecule: transfer RNA, 73 nt
Filed under: Actinomadura sp. KC216
Lineage: Bacteria; Bacillati; Actinomycetota; Actinomycetes; Streptosporangiales; Thermomonosporaceae
Description: tRNA-Pro
Rfam family: tRNA
About the family: Transfer RNA (tRNA) molecules are approximately 80 nucleotides in length. Their secondary structure includes four short double-helical elements and three loops (D, anti-codon, and T loops).
Source: RNAcentral